This 613-nucleotide ribosomal RNA is filed under the name Salmonella enterica. Its description in RNAcentral is "bacterial SSU rRNA". It matches the Rfam family "Bacterial small subunit ribosomal RNA", at positions 932 to 1533 of the family's 1533-position model. Lineage: Bacteria; Pseudomonadati; Pseudomonadota; Gammaproteobacteria; Enterobacterales; Enterobacteriaceae. The record is from RNAcentral.
GUGGAGCAUGUGGUUUAAUUCGAUGCAACGCGAAGAACCUUACCUGGUCUUGACAUCCACAGAAGAAUCCAGAGAUGGAUUUGUGCCUUCGGGAACUGUGAGACAGGUGCUGCAUGGCUGUCGUCAGCUCGUGUUGUGAAAUGUUGGGUUAAGUCCCGCAACGAGCGCAACCCUUAUCCUUUGUUGCCAGCGGUUAGGCCGGGAACUCAAAGGAGACUGCCAGUGAUAAACUGGAGGAAGGUGGGGAUGACGUCAAGUCAUCAUGGCCCUUACGACCAGGGCUACACACGUGCUACAAUGGCGCAUACAAAGAGAAGCGACCUCGCGAGAGCAAGCGGACCUCAUAAAGUGCGUCGUAGUCCGGAUUGGAGUCUGCAACUCGACUCCAUGAAGUCGGAAUCGCUAGUAAUCGUGGAUCAGAAUGCCACGGUGAAUACGUUCCCGGGCCUUGUACACACCGCCCGUCACACCAUGGGAGUGGGUUGCAAAAGAAGUAGGUAGCUUAACCUUCGGGAGGGCGCUUACCACUUUGUGAUUCAUGACUGGGGUGAAGUCGUAACAAGGUAACCGUAGGGGAACCUGCGGUUGGAUCACCUCCUUACCUUAAAGAAGC